UCAUACAAGAAACCCAAAUCAAUAAUCAUCGGCGUAAAGAGUGGCUAUACGUUAUCAUCAUUAACUAAGAUCAAAAUGCAACUAAGCUGUCACAAGCCUAAGAUCCACCAAAGCUCAACCUGACAUCUUAGAUUCAACGAUUAACUUUAACCCACGAAAGCCAGGGCACAAACUGGGAUUAGAUACCCCACUAUGCCUGGCCCUAAAUCCAGAUACCCACUCACACUAAAGUAUCCGCCCGAGAACUACGAGCACAAACGCUUAAAACUCUAAGGACUUGGCGGUGCCCCAAACCCACCUAGAGGAGCCUGUUCUAUAAUCGAUAACCCACGAUCCACCCAACCACCCCUUGCCAACACAGCCUACAUACCGCCGUCGCCAGCCCACCUCCCAUGAGAGAAUAAUAGUGCGCUCAAUAGUCCCCCACUAACAAGACAGGUCAAGGUAUAGCCUAUGGGGUGGUAGAAAUGGGCUACAUUCUCUAUCCUAGAGCAUCAACGAAAAAGGACAUGAAAAUCCGUCCUUAGAAGGAGGAUUUAGCAGUAAAGUAGGAUCAUUUCCAGCCUACUUUAAGCCGGCUCUGGAGCACGUACAUACCGCCCGUCACCCUCUUCACAAGCCACUACUACCCAUAAAUAAUAAGCCCACCCGCUAAGGCCAAAGACGAGGCAAGUCGUAACAA
RNAcentral lists this ribosomal RNA (682 nucleotides) under Odontophorus capueira (spot-winged wood quail). Its description in RNAcentral is "partial 12S ribosomal RNA". It matches the Rfam family "Bacterial small subunit ribosomal RNA", at positions 521 to 1494 of the family's 1533-position model. The record is from RNAcentral. Lineage: Eukaryota; Metazoa; Chordata; Aves; Galliformes; Odontophoridae.